GCCGUCCUAGCUUAGUGGUAAAGCGGUGGUUUUGUAAACCAUUGACCGGAGUUCGAUUCUCCGGGACGGCUCCA
RNAcentral lists this transfer RNA (74 nucleotides) under Candidatus Gottesmanbacteria bacterium RBG_16_52_11. Its description in RNAcentral is "tRNA-Thr". It matches the Rfam family "tRNA". From Rfam's summary of the family: Transfer RNA (tRNA) molecules are approximately 80 nucleotides in length. Their secondary structure includes four short double-helical elements and three loops (D, anti-codon, and T loops). Further hydrogen bonds mediate the characteristic L-shaped molecular structure. tRNAs have two regions of fundamental functional importance: the anti-codon, which is responsible for specific mRNA codon recognition, and the 3' end, to which the tRNAs corresponding amino acid is attached (by aminoacyl-tRNA synthetases). tRNAs cope with the degeneracy of the genetic code in two manners: having more than one tRNA (with a specific anti-codon) for a particular amino acid; and 'wobble' base-pairing, i.e. permitting non-standard base-pairing at the 3rd anti-codon position. Lineage: Bacteria; Candidatus Gottesmaniibacteriota. The record is from RNAcentral.